UACAGAGGGGGCGAGCGUUGUUCGGAUUUACUGGGCGUAAAGGGCGCGUAGGCGGCGUGUUAAGUCAGCUGUGAAAUCUCCAAGCUUAACUUGGAACGGUCAGCUGAUACUGAUGUGCUAGAGUGCAGAAGGGGCAAUCGGAAUUCUUGGUGUAGCGGUGAAAUGCGUAGAUAUCAAGAGGAACACCUGAGGUGAAGACGGGUUGCUGGGCUGACACUGACGCUGAGGCGCGAAAGCUAGGGUAGCAAACGGG
Molecule: ribosomal RNA, 253 nt
Filed under: uncultured bacterium
Lineage: Bacteria
Description: partial 16S ribosomal RNA
Rfam family: Bacterial small subunit ribosomal RNA
Source: RNAcentral